GAUGAACGCUGGCGGCGUGCCUAAUACAUGCAAGUCGAGCGAACAGACGAGGAGCUUGCUCCUCUGACGUUAGCGGCGGACGGGUGAGUAACACGUGGAUAACCUACCUAUAAGACUGGGAUAACUUCGGGAAACCGGAGCUAAUACCGGAGAAUAUAUUGAACCGCAUGGUUCAAUAGUGAAAGACGGUUUUGCUGUCACUUAUAGAUGGAUCCGCGCCGCAUUAGCUAGUUGGUAAGGUAACGGCUUACCAAGGCAACGAUGCGUAGCCGACCUGAGAGGGUGAUCGGCCACACUGGAACUGAGACCCGGUCCAGACUCCUACGGGAGGCAGCAGUAGGGAAUCUUCCGCAAUGGGCGAAAGCCUGACGGAGCAACGCCGCGUGAGUGAUGAAGGUCUUCGGAUCGUAAAACUCUGUUAUUAGGGAAGAAAAAAUGUGUAAGUAACUAUGCACGUCUUGACGGUACCUAAUCAGAAAGCCACGGCUAACUACGUG
Molecule: ribosomal RNA, 497 nt
Filed under: uncultured bacterium
Lineage: Bacteria
Description: partial 16S ribosomal RNA
Rfam family: Bacterial small subunit ribosomal RNA
Source: RNAcentral